AAAUGCACCGAUGUUUGUUGGCCACUGUGCACAUAUAUUUGUUUUUCUGUUGUGACUUGGAGAUCUUGCAGCCUUAAAAAUAUGUCUCAGAUUUAAGAAUGUGUAAACAAUGGCCAAGUAGCAGGUUUUCAUCAUCCCAUGAAUUAUAGGAGAUGCGGCUGUAGUUUUUAAGAUGUAUAGGAAAAGGCACUAGCCUAGGACUGGUUAUUGCAUUCUUAGUUAGGCUUUGUGUAGUUAAGAAAAUUGUAGUAUGUGCGCUGAUGUUGUCUUUGUACCAGUCAAAAUGAUGCGGGUUGUCCAAAGCACUGCAACACUUUUUUUACAGUGAUUCCUUUGUUGAAUGUAUGUUCCAGGUGGCAGCAGAUCCUCUUCUAAUGGCGUCGGAAUAAAUUCUCAGGUGAACCCAGAUGGCCUUAUAUUUGGAGGCGCUGAAAGAGGAUGCCUAAAUACGCAUGAAUAAAGGCAAAUGAUAAAUACAUUUGUUUCAUUUUCUGAUCCCACUGAUCAUGUUAAGCAAUGUGCCUACAACGACUACUAUAUGCGAUGAGUUUUUCUAAGCUGUGUUCCAUCUCUUAGUCUUGAUACAUAUGAUUAGUGCCCAUGUAAAUCAGUCAAGACAGUGUGCAUAUUUCUGGUUAUUUGGAUAGUGCUAAGAUACUCGGAGAAAUGUUUUUGAACUAGGAGCUCAUUAUAAUUUAUUUUCAUAGGAGUUCAGAUACCGGCAGUGCUUAUGUGUGUAUGUAUAGCUUAUGAAAGGCAUACAUAUAGUCAUACUCUUGUAGGGUUGCUACCUGCUGAAACAUGGGAUUGUUAUCCAUAUUAUCUUUAUGCACCUCAUGGAAAUUCUAUACAUUAGUCUGCUCAGGGGUCAUUAUGAUUUGAUCAUUUAAGUUGGGCAAUCCCUCUUACUCUUAUGUGCUGGAGUUCUCGAUCUAGGCAAUGAACUAGAAUUCUGUGUGUAUUUUAGCUUAAGCAAUGUAGGAUUCAGUAAUGGAUGUUGGAGCAACAUCUUUCAGAAUGUAAUUAAUUAAUUUUACUUCUCGCGAAGUAUAUUUCUUUUGUUUCAAUAAGAAUUAUGCACAACUCGAUAUUUAAAGGUGCAUUUGUCUAAGUUUCUUUAUUUCAAAACUGCAUAUGCAGGAGAGGCUCACACUGAGGGAGGGCUAAAUUGUGAGAUAUCCUUGUUUGGUCCUUUCCGUAUACCUACAAGGCAUGAACCAAGAUGGCAUGGUUUAUCAUUGACCUGAAUGCUUCCAUGGAACUUUGGUUUCAGGUGAUAACAUGAAUAUAUACUUUUUAUGGUUUGGCUAGAUGGUCCUUCUAGAUUUUGUCUGAUUGUGUACAAGUGGUCGGGUUAUAAUUACCAAAACCUCCUAUUUUCGACCGUGGCAGUUACUACCUUAAACAACGCUGAUCUUCUUUUAGUACUAUAGGUGUUUCCCACUGCCGCCACGUCCGCCCAGCUAGCGCGUCACAUCUGCCACUUCUCCUCAACGGUUUUAACAUAGGUAGCACGUGGGUUGUGCCUAUGUGAGCCAUGACGGUGCUGAAGGAAAUAUGCCCUAGAGGUAAUAAUAAAGUUAUUAUUUAUUUCCUCAUAUCAUGAUAAAUGUUUAUUAUUCAUGCUAGAAUUGUAUUAACCGGAAACAUAAUACAUGUGUGAAUACAUAGACAAACAUAGUGUCACUAGUAUGCCUCUACUUGACUAGCUCGUUAAUCAAAGAUGGUUGAGUUUCCUAGCCAUGGACAUGAGUUGUCAUUUGAUUAACGGGAUCACAUCAUUAGGAGAAUGAUGUGAUUGACUUGACCCAUUCCGUUAGCUUAACACUUGAUCGUUUAGUAUGUUGCUAUUGCUUUCGUCAUGACUUAUACAUGUUCCUAUGACUAUGAGAUUAUGCAACUCCCGUUUAUCGGAGGAACACUUUGUGUGCUACCAAACAUCACAACGUAACUGGGUGAUUAUAAAGGUUCUCUACAGGUGUCUCCGAAGGUACUUGUCGAGUCGGUAUUAUGAGUUUUGUGUUUUGAUGUAUCGAAGGUAGUUCAGAGUCCCGGAUAUGAUCACGGACAUGACGAGGAGUCUCGAAAUGGUCGAGACAUAAAGAUUGAUAUAUUGGAAGCCUAUAUUUGGACGUCGGAAGUGUUCCGGGUGAAAUCGGGAUUUUACCGGAGUACCAGGAGGUUACCGGAACCCCCGCCCCCCCGGAUGUAAUGGGCCUAUUGGGCCUUAGUGGAGAAGAGAGAGGGCAGCCAGGAGGUGGCGCGCGGCCGCCCUUGCCCCAGUCCGAAUAGGACAAGGGAAGGGGGCGGCGGCCCCCCCUCUCCUUCCUUCUCUCCACCUCCUCCUUCCCCCUUCUCCUACUCCUACUAGGAAAGGAGGAGUCCUACUCCUGGUGGGAGUAGGACUCCCCCCCUGGCGCGCCCUCCUUGGCCGGCCGCCUCUCCCCCCUUGCUCCUUUAUAUACUGGGGCAGGGGGGCACGUCUAGACACACAAGUUGAUCUGUUGAUCUAUUCCAGCCGUGUGCGGUGCCCCCCUCCACCAUAAUCCACCUCGAUCAUAUCAUAGCGGUGCUUAGGCGAAGCCCUGCGUCGGUAGCAACAUCAUCACCGUCACCAUGCCGUCGUGCUGACGGAACUCUCCCUCGAAGCUCUGCUGGAUCAGAGUUCGUGGGACGUCAUCGAGCUGAACGUGUGCUGAACUCGGAGGUGCCGUACGUUCGGUACUUGGAUCGGUCGGAUCGUGAAGACGUACGACUACAUCAACUGCGUUGUGCUAACGCUUCCGCUUUCAGUCUACGAGGGUACGUGGAUACACUCUCCCCUCUCGUUGCUAUGCAUCACCAUGAUACUGCGUGUGCGUAGGAAUUUUUUUGAAAUUACUACGUUCCCCAACAGUGGUAUCAGAGCCUGGUUUUAUGCGUAGAUGUUAUAUGCAUGAGUAGAACACAAGUGAGUUGUGGGCGAUACAAGUCAUACUGCUUACCAGCAUGUCAUACUUUGGUUCGGCGGUAUUGUUGGAUGAAGCGGCCUGGACCGACAUUACACGUACGCUUACACGAGACUGGUUCUACCGACGUGCUUUGCACAUAGGUGGCUGGCGGGUGUCAGUUUCUCCAACUUUAGUUGAACCGAGUGUGGCUACGCCCGGUCCUUGAGAAGGUUAAAACAACACUAACUGACGAACUAUCGUUGUGGUUUUGAUGCGUAGGUAAGAACGGUUCUUGCUCAGCCCGUAGCAGCCACGUAAAACUUGCAACAACAAAGUAGAGGACGUCUAACUUGUUUUUGCAGGGCAUGUUGUGAUGUGAUAUGGUCAAGACAUGAUGCUAUAUUUUAUUGUAUGAGAUGAUCAUGUUUUGCAACCGAGUUAUCGGCAACUGGCAGGAGCCAUAUGGUUGUCGCUUUAUUGUAUGCAAUGCAAUCGCCCUGUAAUGCUUUACUUUAUCACUAAGCGGUAGCGAUAGUCGUGGAAGCAAAAGUUGGUGAGACGACAACGAUGCUACGAUGGAGAUCAAGGUGUCGCACCGGUGACGAUGGUGAUCAUGACGGUGCUUCGGAGAUGGAGAUCACAAGCAUAAGAUGAUAAUGGCCAUAUCAUAUCACUUAUAUUGAUUGCAUGUGAUGUUUAUCCUUUAUGCAUCUUAUUUUGCUUUGGUUGACGGUAGCAUUAUAAGAUGAUCUCUCACUAAAUUUCAAGAUAAAACUGUUCUCCUUGAGUAUGCACCGUUGCCAAAGUUCGUCGUGCGGAGACACCACGUGAUGAUCGGGUGUGAUAAGCUCUACGUUCAUCUACAACGGGUGCAAGCCAGUUUUGCACUCGCAAAAUACUCGGGUUAAACUUGACGAGCCUAGCAUAUGCAGAUAUGGCCUCGGAACACUGUGACCGGAAGGUCGAGCGUGAAUCAUAUAGAAGAUAUGAUCAACAUAGUGAUGUUCACCAUUGAAAACUACUCCAUCUCACGUGAUGAUCGGACAUGGUUUAGUUGAUUUGGAUCACGUGAUCACUUAGAUGAUUAGAGGGAUAUCUAUCUAAGUGGGAGUUCUUAAGUAAUAUAAUUAAUUGAACUUAAAUUUAUCAUAAACUUAGUACCUGACAGUAUUUUGCUUGUCUAUGUGGUUGUAGAUAGAUGGCCCGUGCUAUUGUUUCGUUAAAUUUUAAUGUGUUCCUUGAGAAAGCAAAGUUGAAAGAUGAUGGUAGCAAUUACACGGACUGGAUCCGUAACUUGAGGAUUAUCCUCAUUGCUGCACAGAAGAAUUACGUCCUGGAAGCACCGCUGGGUGCCAGGCCUGCUGCAGAUGCAACUGACGACGUUAGGAACGUCUGGCAGAGCAAAGCUGAUGACAACUCGAUAGUUCAGUGUGCCAUGCUUUACGACUUAGAACCGGGACUUCAACGACGUUUUGAACGUCAUGGAGCAUAUGAGAUGUUCCAGGAGUUGAAGUUAAUAUUUCAAGCGAAUGCCCGGAUUGAGAGAUAUGAAGUCUCCAAUAAGUUCUACAGAUGCAAGAUGGAGGAGAAUAGUUCUGUUAGUGAACAUAUACUCAAAAUGUCUGGGUAUAACAAUCACUUGAUUCAACUAGGAGUUAAAUCUUCCGGAUGAUAGUGUCAUUGACAGAAUUCUUCAAGCACUGCCACCAAGCUACAAGAACUUCGUGAUGAACUAUAAUAUGCAAGGGAUGCAUAAGACAAUUCCCGAGCUCUUCGCAAUGCUAAAGGCUGCGGAGGUAGAAAUCAAGAAGGAGCAUCAAGUGUUGAUGGUCAACAAGACCACCAGUUUCAAGAAAAAGGGUAAAGGGAAGAAGAAGGGGAACUUCAAGAAGAACGGCAAACAAGUUGCUGCUCAAGAGAAGAAACCCAAGUCUGGACCUAAGCCUGAGACUGAGUGCUUCUACUGCAAGCAGACUGGUUACUGGAAGCGGAACUACCCCAAGUAUUUGGCGGAUAAGAAGGAUGGCAAGGUUAACAAAGGUAUAUGUGAUAUACAUCUUAUUGAUGUGUACCUUACUAGAGCUCGCAGUAGCACCUGGGUAUUUGAUACUGGUUCUGUUGCUAAUAUUUGCAACUCGAAACAGGGACUACGAAUUAAGCGAAGACUGGCUAAGGACGAGGUGACGAUGCGCGUGGGAAAUGGUUCCAAAGUCGAUGUGAUCACCGUCGGCACGCUACCUCUACAUCAACCUUCGGGAUUAGUUUUAGACCUAAAUAAUUGUUAUUUGGUGCCAGCAUUGAGCAUGAACAUUAUAUCUGGAUCUUGUUUGAUGCGAGACGGCAAUUCAUUUAAAUCUGACAAUAAUGGUUGUUCUAUUUAUAUGAGUAAUAUCUUUUAUGGUCAUGCACCCUUGAAGAGUGGUCUAUUUUUGUUAAAUCUCGAUAGUAGUGAUACACAUAUUCAUAAUGUUGAAGCCAAAAGAGGCAGAGUUGAUAAUGAUAGUUCAACUUAUUUGUGGCACUGCCGUUUGGGUCAUAUUGGUGUAAAGCGCAUGAAGAAACUCCAUACUGAUGGACUUUUGGAAUCACUUGAUUAUGAAUCACUUGGUACUUGCGAACCAUGCCUUAUGGGCAAGAUGACUAAAACGCCAUUCUCCGGAACAAUGGAGCGAGCAACAGAUUUGUUGGAGAUCAUACAUACUGAUGUAUGUGGUCCGAUGAAUAUUAAGGCUCGCGGCGGGUAUCGUUAUUUUCUCACCUUCACAGAUGAUUUGAGCAGAUAUGGGUGUAUCUACUUAAUGAAACAUAAGUCUGAAACAUUUGAAAAGUUCAAAGAAUUUCAGAGUGAAGUGGAAAAUCAUCGUAACAAGAAAAUAAAGUUUCUACGAUCUGAUCGUGGAGGAGAAUAUUUGAGUUACGAGUUUGGUCUACUUUUGAAACAAUGCGGAAUAGUUUCGCAACUCACGCCACCCGGAACACCACAGCGUAAUGGUGUGUCCGAACGUCGUAAUCGUACUUUACUAGAUAUGGUGCGAUCUAUGAUGUCUCUUACUGAUUUACCGCUAUCGUUUUGGGGUUAUGCUUUAGAGAUGGCAGCAUUCACGUUAAAUAGGGCACCAUCGAAAUCCGUUGAGACGACACCUUAUGAAUUGUGGUUUGGCAAGAAACCAAAGUUGUCGUUUCUUAAAGUUUGUUGCUGCGAUGCUUAUGUGAAAAAGCUUCAACGUGAUAAGCUCGAACCCAAAUCGGAGAAAUGUGUCUUCAUAGGAUACCCAAAGGAAACUGUUGGGUAACCUUCUAUCACAGAUCCGAAGGCAAGACAUUCGUUGCUAAGAAUGGAUCCUUUCUAGAGAAGGAGUUUCUCUUGAAAGAAGUGAGUGGGAGGAAAGUAGAACUUGAUGAGGUAACUGUACCUGCUCCCUUAUUGGAAAAUAGUUCAUCACAGAAAUCGGGUCCUGUGACACCUACACCAAUUAGUGAGGAAGCUAAUGAUAUUGAUCAUGAAACUUCAGAUCAAGUUACUACCGAACCUCGUAGGUCAACUAGAGUAAGAUCCGCACCAGAGUGGUACGGUAAUCCUAUUCUGGAGGUCAUGUUACUUGACCAAGGCGAACCUACGAACUAUGAAGAAGCGAUGGUGAGCCCAGAUUCCGCAAAAUGGCUUGAGGCCAUGAAAUCUGAGAUGGGAUCCAUGUAUGAGAACAAAGUGUGGACUUUGGUUGACUUGCCCGAUGAUCGGCAAGCCAUUGAGAAUAAAUGGAUCUUCAAGAAGAAGACUGACGCUGACGGUAAUGUUACUAUCUAUAAAGCUCGACUUGCUGCGAAAGGUUUUCGACAAGUUCAAGGGAUUGACUACGAUGAGACUUUCUCACCCGUAGCGAUGCUUAAGUCUGUCCGAAUCAUGUUAGCAAUUGCCACAUUUUAUGAUUAUGAAAUUUGGAAAAUGGAUGUCAAAACUGCAUUCCUGAAUGGAUUUCUGGAAGAAGAGUUGUAUAUGAUGCAACCAGACGGUUUUGUCGAUCCAAAGGGAGCUAACAAAGUGUGCAAGCUCCAGCGAUCCAUUUAUGGACUGGUGCAAGCCUCUCGGAGUUGGAAUAAACGUUUUGAUAGUGUGAUCAAAGCAUAUGGUUUUAUACAGACUUUUGGAGAAGCCUGUAUAUACAAGAAAGUGAGUGGGAGCUCUGUAGCAUUUCUGAUAUUAUAUGUGGAUGACAUAUUGCUGAUUGGAAAUGAUAUAGAAUUUCUGGAUAGCAUAAAAGGAUAUUUGAAUACGAGUUUUUCAAUGAAAGACCUCGGUGAAGCUGCUUACAUAUUAGGCAUCAAGAUCUAUAGAGAUAGAUCAAGAAGGUUGAUAGGACUUUCACAAAGCACAUACCUUGACAACGUUUUGAAGAAGUUCAAAAUGGAUCAAGCAAAGAAAGGGUUUUUGCCUGUGUUACAAGGUGUGAAGUUGAGUCAGACUCAAUGCCCAACCACUGCAGAAGAUAAAGAGAAAAUGAAAGAUGUUUCCUAUGCUUCAGCCAUAGGCUCUAUCAUGUAUGCAAUGAUGUGUACCAGACCUGAUGUGUGUCUUGCUAUUAGCCUAGCAGGGAGGUACCAAAGUAAUCCAGGAGUGGAUCACUGGACAUCGGUCAAGAACAUCCUGAAAUACCUGAAAAAGACUAAGGAUAUGUUUCUCGUUUAUGGAGGUGACAAAGAGCUAGUCGUAAAUGGUUACGUUAAUGCAAGCUUUGACACUGAUCCAGACGAUUCUAAAUCGCAAACCGGAUACGUGUUUACAUUGAACGGUGGAGCUAUCAGUUGGUGCAGUUCUAAACAAAGCGUCGUGGCGGGAUCUAUGUGUGAAGCGGAGUACAUAGCUGCUUCGGAAGCAGCAAAUGAAGGAGUCUGGAUGAAGGAGUUCAUAUCCGAUCUAGGUGUCAUACCUAGUGCAUCGGGUCCAAUGAAAAUCUUUUGUGACAAUACUGGUGCAAUUGCCUUGGCAAAGGAAUCCAGAUUUCACAAGAGGACCAAGCACAUCAAGAGACGCUUCAAUUCCAUCCGGGGCCAAGUCCAGGUGGGAGACAUAGAGAUUUGCAAGAUACAUACGGAUCUGAAUGUUGCAGACCCGUUGACUAAGCCUCUUCCACGAGCAAAACAUGAUCAGCACCAAAACUCCAUGGGUGUUAGAAUCAUUACUGUAUAAUCUAGAUUAUUGACUCUAGUGCAAGUGGGAGACUGAAGGAAAUAUGCCCUAGAGGAAAUAAUAAAGUUAUUAUUUAUUUCCUCAUAUCAUGAUAAAUGUUUAUUAUUCAUGCUAGAAUUGUAUUAACCGGAAACAUAAUACAUGUGUGAAUACAUAGACAAACAUAGUGUCACUAGUAUGCCUCUACUUGACUAGCUCGUUAAUCAAAGAUGGUUGAGUUUCCUAGCCAUGGACAUGAGUUGUCAUUUGAUUAACGGGAUCACAUCAUUAGGAGAAUGAUGUGAUUGACUUGACCCAUUCCGUUAGCUUAACACUUGAUCGUUUAGUAUGUUGCUAUUGCUUUCGUCAUGACUUAUACAUGUUCCUAUGACUAUGAGAUUAUGCAAAUCCCGUUUACCGGAGGAACACUUUGUGUGCUACCAAACAUCACAACGUAACUGGGUGAUUAUAAAGGUUCUCUACAGGUGUCUCCGAAGGUACUUGUCGAGUUGGCGUAUUUUGAGAUUAGGAUUUGUCACUCCGAUUGUCGGAGAGGUAUCUCUGGGCCCUCUCGGUAAUGCACAUCACUAUAAGCCUUGCAAGCAAUGUGACUAAUGAGUUAGUUGCGGCAUGAUGCAUUACGGAACGAGUAAAGAGACUUGCCGGUAACGAGAUUGAACUAGGUAUUGAGAUACCGACGAUCGAAUCUCGGGCGAGUAACAUACCGAUGACAAGGGACAACGUAUGUUGUUAUGCGGUUUGACCGAUAAAGAUCUUCGUAGAAUAUGUAGGAGCCAACAUGAGCAUCCAGGUUCCGCUAUUGGUUAUUGACCGGAGACGUGUCUCAGUCAUGUCUACAUAGUUCUAGAACCCGUAGGGUCCGCACGCUUAAAGUUCGGUGACGAUCGGUAUUAUGAGUUUUGUGUUUUGAUGUACCNNNNNNNNNNNNNNNNNNNNNNNNNNNNNNNNNNNNNNNNNNNNNNNNNNNNNNNNNNNNNNNNNNNNNNNNNNNNNNNNNNNNNNNNNNNNNNNNNNNNNNNNNNNNNNNNNNNNNNNNNNNNNNNNNNNNNNNNNNNNNNNNNNNNNNNNNNNNNNNNNNNNNNNNNNNNNNNNNNNNNNNNNNNNNNNNNNNNNNNNNNNNNNNNNNNNNNNNNNNNNNNNNNNNNNNNNNNNNNNNNNNNNNNNNNNNNNNNNNNNNNNNNNNNNNNNNNNNNNNNNNNNNNNNNNNNNNNNNNNNNNNNNNNNNNNNNNNNNNNNNNNNNNNNNNNNNNNNNNNNNNNNNNNNNNNNNNNNNNNNNNNNNNNNNNNNNNNNNNNNNNNNNNNNNNNNNNNNNNNNNNNNNNNNNNNNNNNNNNNNNNAGAGGGCAGCCAGGAGGUGGCGCGCGACCCCCCUUGCCCCAGUCCGAAUAGGACAAGGGAAGGGGGCGGCGGCCCCCCUCUCCUUCCUUCUCUCCACCUCCUCCUUCCCCCUUCUCCUACUCCUACUAGGAAAGGAGGAGUCCUACUCCCGGUGGGAGUAGGACUCCCCCCCUUGGCGCGCCCUCCUUGGCCGGCCGCCUCUCCCCCCUUGCUCCUUUAUAUACGGGGGCAGGGGGCACCUUUAGACACACAAGUUGAUCUGUUGAUCUAUUCCAGCCGUGUGCGGUGCCCCCCUCCACCAUAAUCCACCUCGAUCAUAUUGUAGCGGUGCUUAGGCGAAGCCCUGCGCCGAUAGCAACAUCAUCACCAUCACCACACCGUCGUGCUGACGGAACUCUCCCUCGAAGCUCUGCUAGAUCGGAGUUCUUGGGACGUCAUCGAGCUGAACGUGUGCUGAACUCGGAGGUGCCGUACGUUCGGUACUUGGAUCGGUCGGAUCAUGAAGACGUACGACUACAUCAACCACGUUGUGAUAACGCUUCCGCUUUCAGUCUACGAGGGUACAUGGACACACUCUCCCCUCUCGUUGCUAUGCAUCACCAUGAUCCUGCGCGUGCGUAGGAAAUUUUUUGAAAUUACUACGUUCCCCAACAGUUGCUGCCCGCGCCCCUGCCUCAUUCGUGAGCAUCACCAAGCACUAGGAGUCUAGGACUGACAUAUAACUGGAGUAUUGAGUACUGAGUUUCAAUACACCACGUCGAUUAACCUCUGUCCAAGGCGAACAUGAGAAUGAUACUCUAGAUAUGGUCCCACUUAUUCUGGUUCAUAAAAUGCAGUAGGUAAGGAAUUCAUUUAUUUUAGUUCCUAGAUUACCUCGCCGUCGCCACCGCCUGCGCUCGCCCACGCGUUUUGCAAUGAAUAUUAGUAUCUGAAAAGGCUGACCAGUUUUGCAAUGAAUAUUUAUAUUUUCCAUUACAUUUGGUCAUAAGAUUUUACUUUGCUUUGCCAGGAGAGUUUCACUUCAUGUAGCGGCGUGGAUGUGCGGGGAAGUGGUUCCUCGCCGGCUGGACGGCGUUCAGGCGCAACCCCGGCGCCCACUGAGUACUGCCUCGGCUACAACCUCCCUCGGUGAUCUCCAACUUCCUCCUGCUCCUCUGCUUUGGCUACUGUAUGGGACAUGGCCGGCUAUGAUGAUCAAAUAUGGCUGAUAUAGGCAUGCUCUCAAGCAAUCGAGGCACCUGUGGGUAUUAAGUUGGACCCCCCCCUCGGUUCUUUGAGCCGUUUUGAUCACGUUCUUAUUUUAGUGGCUCUGUCCUUGCAUGGCCAUUUCUGAUGAGUGGUAACCAUCCAGAAAUAGGAGAAGAAGGCCUCACCGAGCCUCCUCAGCAAUUUGGAUCCUGGGCCGUUGGACUCGGUGAAGAAGGCCUCAGCAAGCCUCCUCAGCGAUUUGGAUUCCUGGUCGUUGGAUCUGGCUGCUUGAUGUACGUUCGGCCGUUGUAUCGAGAGGUGGGAGGAGCUGGGCCGUCGGAUCGGAGAGGGGUAACUGUAGGAAUGAAUAGUUACUGCCUCCACGCGCUGCCGCUUACUUCGCCUGUUCGACCUGGACCCGCUGACCUGUGGGGCCGCUCGCGGGUGGGCCGCAUUGGUCAGUGACCGUGGCUGUGUGCGUGGCAUGUUCGUGCUGUUGCGCGCACCGGCGGGUAAAUAUCCCGCGCCACCGCACGUAAUAUCUUGCCCCCACCGAGGGUAUUUCGGUCUUUUCGCGUCCAGGCCUCGUGCGUGGUGGGCGGUGGUUGGCCCGUGCGGCUAUGGGGUGGGGGAGGGCAGCGUCUUGCCUCUCCUCUCGCUGCCGAUGCUCGUGGCGGAGGCUAUUCUUUUUAGGGCGAUGAUGAUUAACCGUGGCUGAAAUAAGUGUGCCUUUGAGCAAUUGAGGCACCUGUGGGUAUCAAGUUGGAUCCUCCCUGUUGUCUCUAGAAUCCUUUUUGAUCUUGUGAUACCUGUUGUCCUAUCCUUGGAUGGUCAUUCUUGUUGAGUGAUAACCAGGGCAGCUCCACUAUAUAAACAGAUUGAUCUGGUGAUAAGAGAUGACGGGGGCAGGUUAUAUGAUCAAGGAAAGUCGAAUCUGAGCCCACUAUGCAAUGAACCUUGAACCCUUUUUAUUUGUAUUUAAAGGUGUUGCUUAUUUAUGCUUCAGUGUUUAUAGCUGUCUUAUGUAAAGAUUUCUUGUCUCUCAUACCUUUAUUGCAUUUAAGUUGUUCUUGAUCUUUUAUUGUUUGUUGUUGGUCCUUGAUUUAAUCUGGUUAAGAGUAAGUUGCACUUUGUUAUACUAGAAAGACUCGUUCCCAGCAAGUUAACGGUUGAAUGGCUUAUUUUAAUUCGGUGUGAUACUAUUACUUCAAUUUUUCAGCAAGUUAUUUUUUCUUACAUGCUACAAAUAAUAAUGCUACAGGAUUUUUGAGUGUUUUUUGGAGAUAAUGUUGGAUUGUUCAUGUAAAGGGUGUGUGAGGUAGCAUGUCCCAUGUUGUUGUCUGUAUCCAUAGACAAUUUUUCGACUGUUUUGAUUAAGUUGCUGGGUUAAUCCGAGCCAUUGAGCGGCCAUUUCAUUUUGUUUUCUGUAUAGCUUGUGCUGAAGCUUUCCCCAAUUUUGUCUGUCAGCCCUGCAUUUUUUGGAUCGCACACUAGACUAAAUGUAGUGAAUUUUGAAGGAUGUGUAUUUUGUUGGCUUUGUAAUUUAUUUCCUUGCUAAAUAAGCAUUUGGGGUUAUUUUGUUUUGUUGCUACCUUCUAGACGACGGGCGAGCGGGCGGAUCUGUGGACGGCAUCACCACAACCAUAUUCUGAUGGUCUGAUCUCGAGGUGAAAAUAUUCUCUUUGUCUCUCAUUUAUGUUAGUUGAAUAGUUACUUGAUUUGAUGUUGGUUAGCGUACUGCAUGCUAUUUCUAAUUUUUUUAGUCCCAUUCGCAACUACAACUUGCACGAUAAGGACGAUCGGAUAAUUCUAAUUUCUAAUUUGUGUUAGUCCCAUGGAUGGUAACAAUCUUUUACUAUUUCUUAUUGUAUACUAUCGUAUAGUGCCUCCCUACUUGCUCAAAAUCAAAUGUACAUCUAUGAGAAGGUACAAAUUAAGGUCGGUACGAUAGCAGUAGAUUGGCAUGUUUGCAGAAAAAAUAGCCAUGUAAGUUCAAAAGAACGUCUUUAACUAUUGCUGCUAUAUGCUUUGUAUAUUUCCUCUCUGGUUCCUUCAAAAUCGGAGAGAGCCAAGGUCUCCAUUGUUGAUUUUGAAGGAAGCAGAGAGGACAGAAAAUGUAUAUAGCAGGAAUAUGUUAAAAUAUGUUCUUUUGAACUUACAUGUUGACGACGUCCUUGAUGGCGAGUAAAUAGUUAAAUGAUGUUCGUUUGAUGGCGAGUAAAUAGUUUGGCAUGCUCCAGUUUAUGGAGUACUCUUGGAAACUUAUUCUUCCUAUCUUUAUUUUUAAGGAGUUUAGAAUCUAGAUACAAAUGAUUAUGUAAGGAUACAACCCUUGAAAACUAUGUAUAUUCUUAUAGGUAAAUGAGCGAAAUACUUACUGUUGGCCAUUCAAUUACUGAAAUUGAAGUAAGACCUUCAAUUGAGACACCAAAAAUGUUAUUUACGGUGAGCGCUUCCAAUCUGCCGGAUUCUCUUGGUUACAUGCCAUUAUUAAAAGAUGAAUUUGCAUCAUAAAACUCUUCAUAAAUUAUUGCUAAUUGUAAGAGAAAUGUUCUGCUUGAUAUUAUUCUCCAAAUGGUUAAUUUGCUCUGUAUACAAAAAUUUAGAUUGUCAUUCUGCUAAUUUUGCUUCUUCUAUUUUAGGACAAUUGUACUCAUUAUGCUGUCUGUAAGGAGAAGUUUGUUUGCCCUAUGGAUUUUUUUUAUAACAAGCUAUUCUUACCAGGCCCACAAAACUUUAACUGGGCUCUGCCCAUUUACGGGAGAUGUGCAAUAGGCGAGGAUACAAAGUGACGAGUCCUUUGAUGGUGCUCGGUUUUCUCCUUUCCAUGGUGCCACGCCUCAAUCCACUGCUCACAACCACAACGAGCUCGAAUCGAUUGAGGAACGAGUCCUGCGGACGUUUCUCAGGAUCAAUCUUCGGCCAUGUUCGGUAUGUUAUUAGCUCCCGUCCAUUCCUUUCUCUAUUGCUCUCUUCCAAGAUAUGUUAUGCUUCUACGAGCAUGUCAUGAGAAGUAGGCGCAAUACAUGGGCGUUCAGAGCACUCGCGACUUCCAUUCGGUUCAGUGUGGAGGUUUUAUUUGUCCUUGCAGCAUGUACUCUCCAGUCUCCUCUCGCCUCCUCUACCCUUCCUGACUGCUCUCUUUCCCUUCCGCUUUCUCUUAUUCAGAAUGCCUUUGCUUUUUUUGCGGUGAAGAAUGCCUUUGCUUCCACGCUGUUAUUGUAACUGCAUAAGAAAAUGAAUACACAUGCGUAUGUUUUUGUUCAUGUUCAAAAAUACAAGUGCUGCUAUACUGAUUACCAUCUAUUCCUGAAAAAAUAGAUAAUGAAAAUCAGCUUAUUGCUUCACCUCAGUCUCAUAGAGAAGCUUAUUGUAGUAUACAUGUGUACUUCCGAUUAUGACAUGAUAUUAGUAGAGUCUGAUCUUUUAUGCCAUGAAGAAUAUGUUAUUUUCGAACAUAGAAUGACAUUCCAUGUGUUCUUCAAAUUUAUUACGGACAAUUAUUAUUUUUGAUGAUUGGUUACAGAUAAAUUAUUCCUAAACAAGCAUGAAAAUGAAUAUUAAUACGGUUUCACUCUUCCUAGGGCACUUGCAGCAACCACAUUAUGAAAGGAUCAACGAGGAGCGAUCUGAUCUGCAUCGGUGUCGAUGAAGGUAAAAUUCCGAUAUAUCCUCCUAUAGGACUUUAGUACUACUUGUAAUGGACGUCCACGGAUCACCUAUUCUAACUCUGGCAAGUACCCGAUGAUAUAUGAUGCCACCAGCCCCUGUGAUGUACCAUGUGAUCUGCCUCUUCUUUUGUGAACACGUCCCCUUUGACAUGUCUAUCCAUCCUUUUGUACUCAAUAUCUACCGUGUAUGAACAUUGCAUCCUUUAGUUUACCCUGUAUAUGAACAUUGCAUCCUUCAAAUUUGUUAUACUAUUGUUCUGGUGGAUAUGGAGAUGUGUUCUACUACAGUGUCGGUGUCCAUCGAUGAUGCUUUGCUCCUAUUACAUGUGAAUGUUUCUUCUUUCUUUUAUUUUGUUAUCAUGAUUGAAUACGUACGCUAAGCCUGUCUUUCUAAUAACUUGACCAUUACUUUUUUUUCUGCGGGGUCACUUGACCAUUACUUGCUUGGUCACAUCGUUGGGACCGGCACCCUUGCGUCAAGGCACGAUGCCGGUCUAGUACAUGUGGACGCAGCCACGACAAGGAGUCAGGUGAGGGGCUCGGCGGUGGCUGUAUGCCGAGAUGCAAAGGGAAAUUAUAUGGGCAGUUCCUCAUUGGCAAUUCAUUGCAUAAAUGAUGCAGCUAUGUUGGAAGCUAUUGCUUGUCCAGAGGCUUUAUCUCUCACAGAGAAUCUUAUUCCUCAAAAAAAAAUCAUUGCUCCGGUUUUUUUUUGCGACUGAAAAAGGGGCUUUAUUAAUUAUGGAAUAGUUGUACAAUCGCUUGCCAGAUAGCUCACAAGAGCAGCUGGAGGCACCUGCAGCCACAAAUCGGUGAUGUGCUCCACUCUCGACAUAUAGGCAAGGCGAUCUGCAGUUCUAUUCUGCAAACGACCAACAAGACGUAUCACAAGCUCCCUUUCUCUCAUCAUCUCCUUAAUCUCCAUUACAAGGUGACCUACAAUUGAUUUGUCUGUCUCUGGACUUUCCACAGCUUUUACCAAAGAAGCACAGUCGGUUUGAACAAUCAGUGGCAAGGUUGUAUGCCGCAGUGCCGCACCGAUGCCCUCCCGAGCUGCCACACAUUCAGCUUCCAGAGCACUUGAGCAGUGCUGUAUAAACCAGCAUGCCGAAAAUAUGUGUUCGCCCCUACUAUUCCUGGCUACCAUUGCAGCACCAGCCGUGUGAGUAUUUGCAUCAAAUGAGCCAUCCAGCGACACAGCAAGCCGCCCCUCUGGUGGAGGUGGCCAUGGGCUUGACUCCUGCUCUCUUGCCGCUCGUUGCGGCUGAGCCACCAAACCAUCAGGUCUAACUACACCCUUCCCUUUUAGCAUCUCAUAACCCUUGUCAAAUCUUAUUUGAUUCAGAGAUGCCAUAUAGCUCUGCAAGAAACCUCUUGUGGCCUCAACCGGCGCUACAUUCUUGUCAUGCAGGGCAUCAUUGCGCAACUGCCAGUUCCUCCAUAUGAUCAUCAAGAUUUUUGCCCGGACCUCCUCCUCAAGGGUAACUAGCAGAUCAAAGAGCCAUUCAUGGCCUGUGUUUAUAAUCACCUCCUUUGCUGAGAUGUUCCAGACUUCCCCCAUAGCAUCCCAAACAGCGCUGGAGAUAGGGCACGCCACAACAGCAUGAAAGCUGUCUUCUAUUCCUCGACAGCACCUUGGACAUUCAUCCGGCACUCCCAAAUGUUUAGACUUCAUCACUUGUCGUGUGGGUAACCCAUCCUUCAAUAAUUUCCAUGCACAAAUCUUCACUUUCUGUGGUACCGGGAUUUUCCAAAACAUCCUCCAGACUGGUCGGUCUCCCUCUGGUCUCGUACUAGACGAGACACCCCCCUGAUUCUGUAUAACCUCUGUGACCGCAAGGUGGUAUGCACUUCUAACCGAGAACCGCCCGUCCUUCUCCAUAUGCCACGCGAGAACAUCCUCAUCCAUUCUACGAGAUACCUUAAUUUUCAAAAUCUCCUGCACAUCUGCUCGUAUCAUAAAUUCAUUAAGGCGAGCCUCAUUCCACGACCCAUCUGGUAAGAGGAAAUCGUCAACACGAUUGUACCUGCAGGUUCCCCGCUCUCCCAACAGCUUUCGAGUGCCCCCACGGGGUAUCCAAGGAUCCCUCGAUACCCUGACUUUCUUACCAUUGCCCACCCUCCAUGUUAUUCCUUUUUUUAAUAGCUCCAAUCCGUGUUCAAUGCCUCUCCAGACUGGAGACGCAUUUCCCGCGGAUACAGUGUCAAUGAGGUUGCCAUAUUUGUAGUACCUUGUUGGAACCUUUUUAUUCGGUUAAUAAGAUGGCCGUAUGCAUCAUUCUGAUGCAGAGACCGGAGAGAUCCCCCUUUUCGAAAAAUAAAUAUCUGUAGUACCUUGCUUUCAAUAGCCUUGCACAUAGACUCUCCGGUCUAUCAAUUAGUUGCCAUGCUUGACGAGCUAAUAGAGCUUGGUUAAAAAGUCUCAUGUCGCGGAACCCUAGGCCGCCUUGAUUCUUUGGGCGUAGUAAUUUUUCCCAUGCAAUCCGGUGCGUCCUACGUUUUCCUUUCUCUGAUCCCCACCAAUAGCUCCUUAUCAUUUGAGUUAGUUCAUCACAAGUCAAAGCCGGCAGUCUGAAAACACUCAUCAUGUAUGUCGGUAUUGCCUGUGCAAUUGACUUAAUCAGUGUCUCCUUUGCCCCACUUGAAGCCUGCUUCUCACCCAAAUCAAAAAACCUCCUGCUCAAGCUUGCCUGAAGGGAUUGAAAUUUUCACCUAUUCAUUCGGCCUUCAGGUACCGGCAGGCCCAAAUAACGGUCCUCAAAAUGUUCACUCAGCACACCAAGUAUGCGUUUGAUCCUUUGUUGUUUCCCAUGUGGGCAUACAUCCGCAAACAUCAUGCUGCACUUCGAAGGGUUUAUCAACUGCCCUGUUGCCGAAGAGUACCGGUCUAAAAUGUCCCUCACCAUCAUAGCCUGCUCCUCUGUUGCCUGGAAAAAUAAGAGUGUGUCGUCUGCAAAGAGUAGGUGCGAUAUAGCCGGCGCCGUUCUGCAGAUCACAACCGGCCUCAAACCUCCGGUUGCUACUGCAUCCUGUAUCAAACUCGACAACGAGUCAGCGACAAAUAGGAAAAGGAAAGGCGACAAGGGGUCACCUUGCCGUAAACCUCGCGAUGGUGAAAAUUGGUCCAGAAGCUUUCCAUUAAAAUUCACUCGGAAGCGGACUGUAGUCACACAUUGCAUGAUCCAUUGGACCCAUUUAGAAGAGAAACCCAUCUUCAUCAUUGCGCUCUCGAAGAAGCUCCAAUCUACCUUGUCGUAGGCUUUCGAAAGAUCAAGUUUAUAAGCACAAUUGUUUGCCUCCGGGUUGUGUUCUUGCUGGAUAUAAUGCAUCACUUCAAAGGCCACAAUUGCGUUAUCCGAGAUCAAACGCCCAGGCACAAAGGCACUUUGGCUCUCGGAUAUAAAUCAUUGCUCCAGUUCGAAGCAGAUCGUCAAGGAUAUAGAGAAAGAAGGCUACAGAGUAUAUGGGAACAUCACUAGUGAGAUUAAUAGGAGGUCUCAAAUGUUUAAUUAUACUUUUUCCUUUGAAGAUUGAGGUGCUGAUAGCAAUGUCGAUAGGUUAGUCAAGUUCUCGCAUUCUCUCGAUCAGGGGCGACACGUCUGAUUGGUCCAACCCCAUCAUUCUUUCUGUAUCCCACAUCGCGUGGAUUUUGAGUAAUAAAACUUGAUGAUACCCCAAAAAUGUAUAAUGGAUCGUCUCUUAGUCUAUGUAUCCCAUGGUUUCGUGAUUUUAGUCUAUGUAAUUAUUGUUCGUAGGUUUAGGAUUUUUAGUGAUUUCCAAAGCGGCCGAUCUUACCAAAUUCAUUAGUUGUUUUUAACACAGUACAAACACAAACGCUCGUACAUACGCACAUGCACUCACACUAUAAACACACACACACACACACUCUACUCUUAUGAGCAUCCCUGAGAGAUGGAGCCGACAUAUAAUCUUAAUAUUGACAAACUCGUCACAGACGUCUUUGUACUUGGUGGGAAUGUCUCCUCCCACGGUACGCACAUCGCCGAAAGGCCUGAAAUAAAUCCAGAAAAAUAUGAGCACCGGUGUCAAGUCUAAAACUUAAACCCUUAUGGAAUGAGGAUAUCACUGUCCUCCUAACCAUUCAACCAUAGGUCGGUUUGCAAGUUCACUAGUUUCAAGAGGGUUAGAUCAGCGGCGAGUCUACUAGGGGGCUUCAACAGGCUGAAGCCUACACUCCAGAAAAACGAAAUUUUCUUUUACUAGUACUAAACUAAUCUCGUCCCAGCCCAAUAGCCCAACUUCUCAGCCUAUGUAGUAUUAGCGAGUAGCAAACAAACCACGCCGCACACGCACAGAGAACAGAACAGGCGACUCACGAACACACAUCGGCGGCAGCCAUGCGCUCAUGCUCAUACUCCAACCCUAGCGCCGCCGGCGGGGGACCAAGGUGCCGCCAGGGUAGACGUUGUGGUAGAGCUCAGCCGUAGCCACAGCUGAUUUAGGCAGGGGAUGCAGUUUGCAGGAGGUCGCCGGCCUGCUGACAUGUGUGGGGNNNNNNNNNNNNNNNNNNNNNNNNNNNNNNNNNNNNNNNNNNNNNNNNNNNNNNNNNNNNNNNNNNNNNNNNNNNNNNNNNNNNNNNNNNNNNNNNNNNNNNNNNNNNNNNNNNNNNNNNNNNNNNNNNNNNNNNNNNNNNNNNNNNNNNNNNNNNNNNNNNNNNNNNNNNNNNNNNNNNNNNNNNNNNNNNNNNNNNNNNNNNNNNNNNNNNNNNNNNNNNNNNNNNNNNNNNNNNNNNNNNNNAACUGAACCGGAUGCACUGUUAACUAAUUUAGUGUCCAAUCAAACUAUUUGCAGAUUGGCAAAAAGAAUUGAAGAGAAAAAAUACGACUAUAUGUAUAGUUUUGCAACUAAAUCCUGAACCUAUCCCAGCUUGUGCAUGUGUAAUCCAAACUUUAGUUAAAAUUUUCAUAUUUUUCAACUAAAAAAUUCCAGUAGAAAAUACAUGUUUCCGGUACUAGUCUGGGAAAAUUAAAGCUUAUUUGGACCACGGGAUUAUGAGGCAAUGAUUUGUUUCUUUAAAAUGAUGUUUAGUUCUCUCAGCUUUAACUUUGAGCCCACCCUCCAUUUUGUUCCUAGAUUCGUCACUGGGUUAGAUAGAGGUCAAGCUACUGUAAAUUUUAGGACCGGCUAGGGGUUAGUUGGCUGAAAAAGAAAUUUUCGGCAUGAUUUAGUCAAUAUGUGGGUUGGAAUGCUUCUUCCAGCCCUCAAGACUUCUCCCAAUUUACAACUAGUAGUUUGCUGGUUCAUCAACAGUUCAACCGAGGUAGCCACAUGUAUUCUCAACACGUAGCAGGUUGGUCGGCUAGCUACCUGCAUGCGCGACCACACGCGCUACCGAUGCUCGUGCGAACGGCUCCCGUCUCGUUGGUCAAAAACAUCACCACAGCCAGGAGUGCUUCUCUAAAAAUUCUAAACUCUUGUAUGUGCGCGUGCAUGUUCAUUUAUGGGAGUAUAAGCAUAUAAUAAUAGAAUUUUUAAAAACAUUUCCUCAGACGGAAUUAAUUAAUGGCAUUGGUAUUAUUCUUAGGGAAGAAAUAAAAUAAAAUACAAUAGAAAGAAUCAAAACAAUGACAUUUCCAAAGGAAUAAUGAAUUAGUGCCAUUGGUAUUACCCUUUAAGAAGAAAGAAAAUAAAAAAUAAUUUAUAAUAAUUUUUUUUUGCACAUAACUUACAUUGAAAUUACACUUUUUACAAUGUGCAAUAAGAAGCAUAUAAUACUGGAAUUUUCCGAUGAAAAAAAGGUUUCCUAAGAAGAAUGAAUUAGUGAUAUUUGUAUUAUAAGAAAAAGAAAAGAAAUAAAAUUUAAAAAAUUAAAAUAACAAAGUUUUUCUAAGAAAGAAUUAAUUAAUGGAUUCGGUGUUACCCUUUUAGAAGAAACAAAAUGAAAAUAUAAAAUAUAACAAAAUCAUAAUAAUGAAAUUUUCUAAAAAAUAAUUAAUUAUUGGCAUUGGCAUUACAAAAUAAAUAAAAUAGAAAAAAUCUAAAACAAAUAUUGACACAAUUUACAUAUAAAUUGCAAUUUUUUACAAUAUGCUAGAACAAGCAUCACAAAAAUAAAUAAGUUAUUUAAAUAAGAAUGAAUUGAUGGCAUUGGUAUUACCUUAAAAUAAAAAAUAAAUAUAAAUAAAAACAUAAAAUCAAAAACAAUGAAGUUUUUCCAUGGAAGAAUGAAUUAGUGACCUUGGUAUUACACUUUCAAAAGAAAGAAAAUGAAAUAUAAACUAAAAAAAUUAUAAUUAUGAAAAUUUCUAUGAAAGAAUGAAUUAGUUGCAUUAGUAUUACCCUUUAAGAAGAAAGAAAAUAAAAAAAUAAGAAAUAAUGAAAAAAAUUACACACAAAUUACAAAGAAAUUGCGCUUUUUUGUAAGAUGCAACAAUAAGCAUAUAACACUAGAAUUUCAAAACAAAUAAAGUUUUGUAAAAAGGAAUGACUUUAGUGGCAUUGGUAUUAUCCUUGAAAGAAACAAAAACUAAAACAAAAUAAUGAAGUUUCCUAUGAAUUACUGACAUUUGUAUUACACUUUAAGAAGAAAGAAAACGGAAAAAAUAAAGCAAAUAAGAGAAAUGUUGCAGAAAACUUACACAAAAGUUAUGUUUUUUUAUAAUAUGCAAAAACAAGCAUAUAAUAGUGAAAUUUCAGAAAAUAAAAGUUCCCUGAUAAGGAAUGAAUUAGUUGAAUUGUUAUCAACCUUAAAGAAGAAAGAAAAUGAAAUAAAAAAACUGAAACAUAACCAAAAUAUUGUACUUUUUAAGGUAGAAUAAAGUAGUGGUAUUGGUAUUAUCUUUUAAGAAGAAAAAAGCUUGCACACAACUUUGCACUUUUUAAUGUGUAAGCAAUAAACAUGUAAUAGUGUAGUUUUUACAAAUAAUUUAUACAAAUGUUUAUGUAGUACUUACAUGUAUACAUUUUACACUCAGAAAAGGAAAACAAUAAAAGCAAAAGAGUCAUAUAAACAGAAGAAUAAGAAGAAGCAUGCCGGCCUAUAAACAAGCAACAGGAAACACAAAAUGGGCUUCAGCCCAAUAAGAAAUCAAAUGACCUAGAACAAUGGUGAGUCAAAAAUUUCAGCCCAAAACAUGACAGCAGAUACAAUAGGAAAAAAAGGCAAGAAUCAUCAAGCGGAAAUCAAUGCCUCAAAAGUUGACUAAUCCAAAUUUAUUUUUCACACGACUUACAUAUAGCUAAAGUGAUAAUUUGUAUUUAUGUCUCACCUCUGUAAACUACAGGGCACUGGCGGAGCUACUGCAAGGCCAAGUGGGCCGUAGGCUACCCAACCCAUGGCCAAAACAUUGAAGAGUAUAGGUAAAACUGGGCUUGUUAAGAGAGAAAAGUGUGUUUUCUUCAGCUCGGCUUGACUUGGACCGCCGAAGUAUUUUUUUUCUGUAGUUUCGCCACUACUGCCAUGCAAGCCAAGGAAAACCCAAAACCCAAAGUACUAUAAGCCAGAAUAGGUCCUACGUCCUACGCAAAUUAUCUUGCACAUUGUACUCUUCUACUCACAAGCUAAGAUUGACAUAGAUUGUCAGACUAGUGAUAGAACUACACUCAAUUAAUUCUUACUGAACUCACCAUCACUGACAUACGAGAAUUAGGGCCACUUUGGUUAGCGGGAUUUAGAAAACACAGGAAUGAGACAAACAUAGGAAUACAAGGUCAUGCCAUGUAGAAUUCUAUAGGGAUUGAAAAAACACAUGAAUUAGUAAUAGAAGUUGUUUUGUUAUACCACACGAAAAAUAAAGGAACUUUCUAUUGACACUCAACCAAUUCAUGCAUAAUUUUCAUAGACAGAAAACUGGAAUUCUUAUGGAAUUGUAGGACAGGAAAGUGGUGUAUAUGAUUUCUAGAGGGUUCAUUCUUUUAAACUAAAUUAUCUUCAUAGGAAAAAAAUCCGAUGGAUUAGACUCACAUGAAAUUCUUUACAAAUUCCUUGUAAGGCAAAUACUGACCAAUAGGGGGUGAAUGGGAGAUUCUAACAAAUUAUUCAGAUAAAAUGAACUAACCGAAGACAAACAAAGUAAAUUGUAGUGAUGAAGACAAACUAAUCAAACAAAAAAUAACUCGGAAGGAAUGUAGGCUAACAUGACUGAGACAAAGAUAACAAAUGCUAGAUACAAUAGCAGUGAAGACAAAUUAAAUAUAGCACAUGCAGUAGAAUAGAAAGGAAUACAUCAAAGUCUUAGCAAUAGAUACAAAGAACGUAGGGAGUACUUUUUAGGGGUCAUAACUCUUUGUUAAACCAAAUACUCAUGGACUAUCACAUGUAUAUACUUACAAACACAUUAGUCCCUUAACUGUUUUGUCCAUGAAAUCAUCCAAAACCCUCAGGCGGCCAUGUUUGAAAUGUUGCGGCAACAUCUGCACCAUGCUUAGGAAUGGAUGAAAAGAUAGGCGGGUAAGAAUCGCAGUGAGUGCACAUUUCAAGUAGGUGAUCUAGUCUUUCUGAAAGUCCAACCCUAGUUACAGAAUUCAUUGGUAGCUCGCCGCAACCAAAAAUUGGCCUUGAAAUUUUAUGGACCAUAUCAUAUGAUGCGUCGUGCUGGAGAGGUAUCCUACAAAUAGGCCCUUCCGGCUAAGUCAAAGAUCCAUGAGGUGAUCGAUGUCUCGCAGUUGAAAAAGCACUUGCCACCCAAGUUUGUGAUUAUGAUGUGAGCAUGGUGUCUCCGCGCGCAAUAAACCUCCUUUAAUUUGCUGCCAUUCUGCAGUUUGAGUUCAUCCAAUGUGGGGACAAAGCUAAGCCAAGGCUCAAGGUACAUUGGGUUAUUCAUCCUGAGACUCGUGACACUUGGGAGGAUGCGUUUGUUCUGCAACAGCGCUAUCCUGCUCUUGCGGCUUGGAGUCAAGCCGCGCCUAAAGGUGUGGGGAAUGUUAUGUGAUGGCCAAGCCGGAGCAGGAGGCCCAAGGCCUCACGACGCUACCGAUGGCUGGACCAGGCCUGGAAUGUUGCAUCGGGUAUGGGCGAAACCGAAACAGUAUGUUCCCAAGAGUACUACUCGGUAGCCAUGGAUCCCGCCACCUACAGGUUUUGCAAAAAUUAACGUUGAUAGAGCAGUAGGAGGUAAUGGAGGUCGUGGAGAUUUGUCGUGAUCAGCAAGGAAGGUAUUUAGGAUCAUCUUCGAUCACGUUUGAUGGCAUUGUUGAUGUUCCAUGUAUGGAGGCACUACUAGGAAAAAUCUUAUACACAGAGACUUACCAGUAGUGCGGGACAAAAAUAAGCGCUACUACAAUUUACCACUAGCGCAUGUUAUCCAAACGCGCUGCAGCUAAGAUCAUAGCAGUAGCGCGUCUAACUAUAGAGGCGCUACUACUACAAUUCCCCUUACUAUUCUCGCCAGGCUACCUAUAGUAGUAGCGUGCCUAAGGAAAGCGCGCUGCUGCUAAGAUUGUUGUAGCAGCGUGUUUCGCGCAGGAAGCGCUACUGCUAAGGAAAGGAAAAUAAAAUGAAAAACAUAUAGAAAAGUAAAUGAAAAUGAAAGAAAUAAAAAAGGGGAAGGAAAAAAAGAAAAUGUGAAUGAAAAUAAAUGAAAAAGAAAAAUAAAGGAGAAAUGCGUAACAGCAGCGGGCUUUAUGGAACGCGCUAUAGCUAAUGUAGCAGUAGCGCUUUCCGUGGAACGCGCUGCUGCUACUUUCCACUUAACCAACCGUUCUUCUUCCCCACGCCCACUUCCCCCAAAUCCAACACGCGUACGUCUGUUGUCGCCGCUGUCAUCGCCCGGUCGCCGCGCGCUCUCCCGUCGCCCUCCGCACGCCGUCGACGCCGCCCCCGAUCCCGACCUCGACGCCGUCCCCGACCCCGACCUCGAUGCCCCCCUACAUCGCCGCCCUCCGCCGUGCGCCCGCCGCCCCGACCCCGACCCCGUCCCCGACCUCGACGCCGCGUGCCCCUCUCCCUAACUCUGCCGGCGCCCGAGGUGAGCACGCCCUCCUCCUCCUCCCCUACCUCUGCCUAGCUAGGGUUCCUAGGGUUAAAUUUCAAAGUUCAUCUAAUUAGUUAGGGUUCAUCAAAUUAGAUGCUAAUUAUGGCAGUAGUUGUUAAAUAGAAUUAGUUUUAGAGUUCAUCAAAUUAGUUAGGGUUAAAUUUCAGAGUUCAUCAAAUUAGUUAUGGUUAAAUUUUAGAGUUCAUCAAAUUAGUUAGGGUUCAUUAAAUUUUAGAGUUCAUCAAAUUAGUUAAGGUUAAAUUUUAGACUUCAUCUAACUAGUUUUUUUACUGUUUUUUAGUAAGUGUUUAAUAGAAUUAGUAAGAAAAUUAAUAUAACUAGUUGAACUAGUUUUUUUUAAGUAAAAACUAGUUUAUUUUUAUUUAUAGUAAGUGCUUAAUUGAACUAGUUCAGUUAAUAUAACUAUUUUAUUUUUAGUAUGAAAAUUAAUAGAACUAGUGUACUUUUUUAGUUAAAGCAAUUAUUCCCGCAUCGACGUCGACGAUGCCUAUCCCGCAUCCUCGUCGUCGAGUCGGCGGAGGACACCUGCGUCACCAGAUGGGCCAUGUCCGGGACUGGGCUCCGCCGGUGUGGUACUGGGAGGCGCUACCUACCGGGGGGCGCAGGUUGGUGAGGAGUCAGCCCAUCGUUGACCCGAACCUUCUUUGGUGGCGGUCGCGUGGGCCAGUGACGUUCCAGAGGCUCGAGGACCCCGCGGAGGUGGUGCGUCACCGUGUUAGUGAGGAGGACGCGCACGUCCGUCACUACUUGUUUGCGUUGGAGCACAGGUUCUCCAGGGAUCUCACUAGAGCUAUGAUCCUGUGAUGGUUCCUUCUCUGUGGGUGUCCACCGCCCGCGCCGAUACCCGUCGUGCGCUAGGGUUUUAGUUGUAUUAGUGAUGUUAUAUGUAUGAUACUAUUCGGGAUGUAUUAGUGAUAAUAUUCGACGAUGUACGGACGCAUGAGAUGAUUUACUUUUGCUUAUUGAAUGCAUGCUAAUUUGAAUAUUUAUUUAUUUUACGAUUUGGUUUUGCUUAUUGAAUGCUCAUGUCAAUAUGAGUCCUAUAAGAUAUUUUGAAAUGUAUAUCUUGUGUUGCUCAAAUAGGAUAUGUGCUUGCCCAAGUGGCCGGUCAUUUUUGCAGGUUACACCUCCGAGUGGCCUAUUUUUGCCGGAGUGUUGAUUCAUUUCCGUUCCAGCAAAUUUCAGGCGCCCGAUAUGUCCUAUUUUAGCAAAGGUCAUGCCUGAUUUUUCCAUGAAUUUUGGCAUGACUUGUGCCAGAAUAUGUAGGAAAUAUCGAGUGCCCCGGAUUUGUGUGUUGAGUAUCCUGGUAGUUGCCUUCGAUCAAUUUUCAAUUAAUGUUUCAACUAUGAACAUAGAAAAUGUCUGACGACGAAAAGGAUUUCGAUAUUUGUGAAUACUGCGAAGACGAGCGCGGCCUGUGCGACAGAAUCUUCCUAGAUGAUGAUAGGCGCUUCAGCAUCAAGCUGGACAAGAACUUCGAAGUGGAUACAGUAAGUGAAAGAACAUGCGGUGCCCCCAUGUUUGGUUUUGGUAAUUGAUGACAAUCUCUAUGGACUAAUGGUUGCCUUGAGUUAUAUUUGAAGGAUUUGUCCAUAGGCUUUUCUUGAAGUCCAUGUGUUGGUUUCAAGGAGUUUAUGUGGUGACCAAGGUGUUAUUAAGGAAUUAUCCAAAGAUUGGUCAUGAGUUUAUGUGGUGACCAAGGUGUUAUUAAGGAAUUAUCCAAAGAUUGGUCAUGUGAGAGUAGAACUUAUUGCAAGCAUGUCUUGAAGAAGAAGAUUGUGUGAUCAUUCAUGUUUACCUUCAAGACAUCAUCCAAAUGAAGAGAGUUGGAAAGAGUCAAGGUUGAUCAAGACUAAGUCAAGAGUGAAUCAAGUUGAUCAACACACAAAGCGCACAAGAUGUACCGAGAGGGAUCAAGCGAUCCCAUGGUGUGGUAAGCAUUGUCGAUUACGCUUUGUGUACUAACCCAUGAUCUUUGUGAGAGUUCUUUGUGGGGUUAGGUUGCGGUGUGCAAGUUCAAGUGAAGCAUCAUGAAGAGAUCAAAUGCUUGAAGCUUGCCGUCCAUUGUGGCGACAAUGGACUUAUGAAGAUGUUGCGGUGCGCAAGUUCAAGUGAAGCAUCAUGAAGAGAUCAAAUGCUUGAAGCUUGCCGUCCAUCAUGGUGACAAUGGACUAGUGAAGAUGUGCGGAAGAGUGGCUCACCCAUAGUGGAGUAUGGGGGAGCAAUCAACUAGUCUUCAUCGAGCCAACGCAACCAAGAAAGGUGGUCCAACUUGAGGGAGUCAAGAUCGUCAUCAUCUAGCUCAAGUGGACCAUGUGCAAGGCAAAGGUUUGCUCUUGAUAGGUUUUCUAUUUUACCGGUCUCAUGAUGGUAGUUGGGAGACCGGGUUAUAGGAUCGAUUGCCGUACUAUCAAGGGGGGCUCUCGAUGAGUAGCUUGAUCGUAUCGUUCAUAGAGAGCUCAAACCAUUGCAUCCUUGCAUCAUCUUUGUUGGUUCUUGUUUGGUUCUUCUCUUUGUGAGUUUUGGAGCUUAUGGUCAUCUUGAUGACAAGCUCGAGUUCAUCGAAAACGGAGUUCACUCGCAUCUUCUAUGAUGUUUUCGAUGUUGGAAGUUAUGCCGGUUCUUCUCGGUUGGAGGUUUCACUCCUCUAUUUUUUGGCAUACCUCCCCUGCCUCUUCUUACUAUAACCAGUCGCUGUUUUGAUGCUACUCGUCUUUCUCAAUCCAACAAGCUUGAGUUUGCUCAAUUCGGAGCUCAUAUGCAGAAGUUAUGGCAGUUUUGGUUUCCUAGCGGUAGUACCGCGGCCAGAGCGGCAGUACCGCUUGUCACCCCAAGCGGUAGUACCGCUGUCCAAAGCGGUAGUACCGCCUAUGGCCAUAAGCGGUAGUACGGCUACGGUUCCGCGCAGUAGUUGCACGGCAGUAAGGCACGGUAGUUCCACCUAUAAGCGGUAGUACCGCCCUGAUGGGCGGUAGUACCGCCUAUAAGCGGUAGUACCGCUCCGGUCGGGCGGUAGUACCGCUGCUGCAUUUUUGGUCCCGUGUUCUGCUCCUCCAGCGGUAGUACCGCUGGGGUGCGCGGUAGUACCGCUUAUAAGCGGUACUACCGCCCCAAGGUUCAUGUUUGGUUGCUCCUUUUCCCUGCUUCUUCCGCCAGAGCGGUAGUACCGCUCGUGGAGCGGUAGUACCGCUCGUGUGCGGGCUGAGCACAUAACGGUUGGAUUUUUUCCCUUCUAUAAAAGGGGGUCUUCUUCCCCAUUGAACCUUAUCCUUUGAGCUCGUGUUCUUCCCCCAUUGUUGAUCUUCUUCGAGCUUGCUAACUCUCAAUCCCUCCAUGGAUUCUUGCUAGUUUUUGAGGGAAAAGAGAGAGGAGAUCUAGAUCCACAUUUCCACCAAUCACUUUCUCCUCUUUGUGAGGGGAACCCCUUGGAUCUAGAUCUUGGAGUUCUUGGUGUUCUCCUUCUUGUUCUUCCUCUCAUUUUCUUCCCUAGCAUUAGUUGCUUCGGUGGGAUUUGAGAGAGAAGGACUUGGGCACUCCGUGUGCCCUUGCCAUUGCAUUUGGUGCAUCGGUUUGAGUUCUCCACGGUGAUACGUGGAAGUUACAAGUUGAGAAGCUUAUUACUCUUGGGUGCUUGGUGCCCUUGAGCUUGUUCCUCUUGGGUGCUUGGGCGCCCUAGACGGUUGGUGGUGUUCGGAGCUCAAUCAUUGUGGUGUAAAGCUCCGGGCAAGCGUCGGGGUCUCCAAUUAGGUUGUGGAGAUCGCCCCGAGCANNNNNNNNNNNNNNNNNNNNNNNNNNNNNNNNNNNNNNNNNNNNNNNNNNNNNNNNNNNNNNNNNNNNNNNNNNNNNNNNNNNNNNNNNNNNNNNNNNNNNNNNNNNNNNNNNNNNNNNNNNNNNNNNNNNNNNNNNNNNNNNNNNNNNNNNNNNNNNNNNNNNNNNNNNNNNNNNNNNNNNNNNNNNNNNNNNNNNNNNNNNNNNNNNNNNNNNNNNNNNNNNNNNNNNNNNNNNNNNNNNNNNNNNNNNNNNNNNNNNNNNNNNNNNNNNNNNNNNNNNNNNNNNNNNNNNNNNNNNNNNNNNNNNNNNNNNNNNNNNNNNNNNNNNNNNNNNNNNNNNNNNNNNNNNNNNNNNNNNNNNNNNNNNNNNNNNNNNNNNNNNNNNNNNNNNNNNNNCACGAUCUUUCAGUAAGUCACAACGACAAGUCUUUUUUCGUAAUUAAGCAUGACAUCUGCUUCAUUUGCUUCAACUUAUAAUUUAAAUUUUUUACUAUUCUACUAGCGUAUCCCCUGCCAUGCAAGACUUUUUGUCUUGGAUAAGAUAGGUUUCAGUCCUAUGCAAACUACUACGGAGGUAAAGAGAGUUAACUUGAAGACCGAGCAUGGUUAUACUUUCCACGCAAAAUUAUACAACGCAGACACCUACACCUAUUUUGAAUGCAAAACUUGGCAAGCACUAUGCAAGGCUUAUGCAUUUGAGCCUGAUAUGUUUAUCACCUUUGAUAUUCGUCCCGAAGAUGAUAUUGAAGGUAAUAGAGACAUCUGGGUCGAUGUGCAGACGCCUCCAGUUAUACCAUUAUGUGAUUUUCUCAACCAUAUUUAUUUCUUUGAUAUUGUUUAUUCAAAAAUAGUUGACAACUAAUUUCUAUUGACAGCUUAUUUCCAUUCAAGCAAACAUGUCCGGCGCUUGGUAGACAUGACCGUCCAUUGUCCCGGGGCUGAACUAAACUGCGAGGAGAUAGGUCAUUAUGUUUCAUGGCUUGAGGAUCUUCAUACUGUCAAGACAAAUUAUUUUUCUGGACUUAAAAAUCUUAGUACUCAAAACGUGCGACCAAUAGUGUUCGUACUGAACUACGGUAACAUCUAUUUAGAAAAGAUGGUAAGAUUUUUACUAUUUGUCCUCAGUGCAUCUUUUGCAUACAUUAUUUUUUAAGCUAAACUUCAUUGCUAAGUAUGUUACUAUACGAUGUUCGUCAACAAGGACUCCCCAUGAAUGUUGUGCCUCAUUGGAUCGAGACUAAAGGUCGCAUGAGAAUUGUUAGCUUACGGCCAAGAUAUCCUACAAUGCACUUCAGUGCAUACAAGAUUUCUAAUAGCAAGGAAUGCUUAAUAGUGAAAGACUGGAGCAAAAUUAUGAACGAUCGCAGAGAAGUACUAGGGGGCAGCAAUCAGAAGCGCAGCCCACGAUUUGGAGACAGGUUCAUCUGCAUGCUCCAACUUGAUGAAGCAGGAGUGCUACACAUGUUUUAUGCUAUUUUACCUGAGAGAGAGCAGCAGGAGUGAUUAGCUAGCUAGAAAUGAGUUAUGAUGAUUAAAUAGCUAGUGUUGGUGGUAAUGACUGAUGAUUAUUAUUAGCUAGUGUUGGUGGUGAUUAGAUAGCUACCGCAGCUAGUGUUUGGUGGUGAUUAGCUAGCUAGAAUGAGUUUGAAGAUGAUGAUGUGUACUGUUGGUGGUAAUGACUAUGAUGAUGAUUAAAUAGCUACUGUUGAUGGUAAUGACUAUGAUGAUGAUUAAAUAGCUUGUGUUGGUGGAUUAGAUUCAAGUGGAGGCAACAUGUGGUGCACAUCGAAAGUACUACUAGUCCAAACUAGAUCAAGUUUGGAUUAGUAGUAUACUUUUGACAUGCACCACAUGUUCCCUCCACUUAAACCUAAUCCAUCUUCAUUUGACACACUGUUAUGGACAUAUUGAUAUAACAACCUCAUAAUUGGUAUUGUACCAAAAUUUGUAUAACGGCGUAUAAAUACACUAAAAAUUAAAAAAAAUGAGAAAAGGAAUACUAGUAGCGAUGGAGAGUAAACAUGCUACUACUAGCUAUAUUAGCAGUAGCGCUGGGGUGAACAAACGAUGCUGCAGCAGCGCGUGUAGCACGCGCUACUGCUAAGGAAUAGCUGUAGUGCCUUACCAGUAGCGCGUCCUCCCGCGCUACUGAUAUGCAAAAUACCCGCGCUACUGCUAGGGUUUUCCCUAGUAGUGAGGCACUAGCAUGCAUGAAUCCCAAGCUCUAGUUGAUGAUCUUUUUGUAUGAUGUGGGAAUUGCACCAUGUAUUGCUCAUGUGCAAAGGCACGUAUAUGUGAUGUACAAGAGGUGGGCCAUGACCUCAACUAUAUAAGGAACUAGGAGGUGGGCCCAAUACACAGAUAUGCACAACACAUAUACUCANNNNNNNNNNNNNNNNNNNNNNNNNNNNNNNNNNNNNNNNNNNNNNNNNNNNNNNNNNNNNNNNNNNNNNNNNNNNNNNNNNNNNNNNNNNNNNNNNNNNNNNNNNNNNNNNNNNNNNNNNNNNNNNNNNNNNNNNNNNNNNNNNNNNNNNNNNNNNNNNNNNNNNNNNNNNNNNNNNNNNNNNNNNNNNNNNNNNNNNNNNNNCAGUCGAAGCGGCACCGCUGCUGAUGCAAACACUGGACCGGAACUCCUCAAAUGACGCCGUAGGCAAGCCCUUGGUCAUGAUAUCGGCAAAUUGUUGGGAAGUAGGGACGUGUAGAACACGAAUAUGGCCAAGGGCCACCUGUUCCCGAACAAAAUGAAUAUCCAACUCAAUAUGCUUGGUCCGACGAUGAUGUACCGGGUUGGCGGAGAGGUAGACCGCCGAGACGUUGUCGCAGUAGACCACCGUAGCACGAUCCACAGGACAAGAGAGCUCAUGAAGGAGCUGGCGAAGCCACGAACACUCGGCGACGACGUUGGCCAUCGCACGAUACUCAGCCUCAGCACUGGAGCGGGAGACCGUAGGCUGCCGCUUGGACGACCACGAGAUGAGUGAGGGUCCAAGGAAGACACAAUAGCCCGAAGUGGAGCGACGAGUGUUAGGGCAGCCCGCCCAGUCGGCAUCGGAGUAGGCGGUGAGGGCGGUGUCGGCGGAGGUGUAGAGCGUGACGCCGAGAUCCAUAGUGCCACAGAUAUAGCGGAGAAUCCGCUUGACAGUGGCCCAUUGAACAUCCCGAGGAGCAUGCAUAUGGAGACACACCUGCUGCACGGCAUACUGGAUCUCCGGUCGAGUCAGAGUGAGGUACUGGAGAGCACCAAUGAUAGACUGGUAGAAUGCAGCAUCCGAAGCUGGAGAAACAUCCGUGGCAGAGAGCUUGGCCUUCGUAUCAACAGGCGUAGCGGCGGGCUUGCAGUUAAGCAUGCCAGCAUGAUCCAGGAGCUCAUGAGCGUACUUCCACUGAUGAAGAAAGAAGCCAUCCGGACGGCGCACCACCUCAACACCGAGGAAGUGGUGCAAAGGAUCCAAGUCCUUGAUGGCGAACUCAACACGAAGACGAUCAGUGAGCUGACUGAGAAGGCCAGCUGUACAUGCUGUCAGGAUGAUGUCGUCGACAUAGAGCAGCAAGUAGGCCGUGUCGGAGCCCUGGUGAUAGACGAAGAGCGAUGCGUCCGAGCGGGUGGAGCGGAACCCGAUCUGGUGUAGAAACGCCGCGAUGCGCUGGUACCAGGCGCGCGGAGCCUGCUUGAGUCCGUAUAAGGACCGCGAAAGUAGGCACAUGUGGUCGGGAAGUGCGGGAUCAACAAACCCCGUGGGCUGCUGGCAGAAGACCUGCUCCUCGAGGUGACCAUGAAGGAAGGCGUUGGAGAUGUCCAUCUGGUGCACCGGCCAAGCACGGGAGACUGCAAGGUGGAGAACCGUGCGAAUCAUGCCGGGCUUAACAACCAGAGCGAAGGUGUCGGUGAAGUCGAUGCCAGCACGUUGCCGGAAGCCACGAACAACCCAGCGCGCUUUAGUGAUCAAGGGUACCAUCAGGACGGAGCUUGUGUUUGAAGACCCACUUCCCGAUAAUCACGUUGGCGUGCCGGGGACGGGGAACAAGCUGCCACGUCCGGUUGCGCAGUAGGGCGUCAAACUCCUCUUGCAUCGCAGCCAUCCAGAGCGGGUCACGAAGAGCAGCUCGAACGGAGGACGGCAACAGCGAUGGCGCAGAGGUGGAUGCCGCAUGGACGUAGUCAUCCGAGGCGUAGCGCGAGCUCGGGCGAAAAACGCCCGCACAGGCGCGGGUGACCGGACCGGGCGCCGGUGAGGAGGGCGCAGCGGGCACCGGGACCGAGGCCACAGGAGCCGCGAGGGCCGUGGGGGCCGCGGGGGCCGGGGUCGCGGGGGUCGCAGCUGGGGCCGACACCACGGGCGCCGAGGCCGCGGGAAGAGGAAGCGUCAGGGGCGCCACUGCCGCGGCCAGAGGGGGCGCUACAUGCGGGGAACGCGCCUCAAAGCCAGGGCGGGCCAAGGGCGGUGCGCGAGCGCCCUCGGAGAGGCGUCGAGGAGCCCGCGUCAUCGGUGGCGGGAGGAACAACCGGGGGUACCUGCUGAAACGGAAACACAUGCUCAUCAAAGUAAACGUGCUGGGAAGUGAACACACGGUAGGAGACGGGAUCGUAGCACCGAUAUCCCUUGGAGUUAGAGGGGUAGCCAAUGAAGAUGCAAGCGACAGAACGGGGUGCAAGUUUGUGGGGAGCGGUGUCGGCAGUGCUAGGAUAGCAAAGGCACCCGAAAAUACGCAAGCCAUCAUAAGAUGGGGGCGUACCAAAGAGAAGAUUGUGAGGUGCGUAGUUCCACCGUGGGCGGCAGGGUCGAAGGUUAAGGAGAAGUGAAGCAGUAGCAAGUGUGUCCGACCAAAAACGAGGGAGCACGUUAGCAUGGAACAGGAGCGUGCGAACGCAGUCGUUCAGAGUGCAAAGGACGUGUUCGGCUCGACCGUUCUGCUGUGAAGUAUACGGGCAUGUGAGACGAAAAACUGUGUUGUGGUGCGACAGAAAAGUGCGGAAAGCAAGAUUGUCGAACUCUUUUCCAUUGUCAGUCUGAAGAGCAAGAAUGCGACGCCCAAACUGCGUGCUGACAUAGGAGUAAAAAGGCAUCAAAGUGGAGAGUGCAUCCGACUUUCGUCGCAAAGGAAAAGUCCACACAUAGUGAGAAUAAUCAUCAAGGAUAACCAGAUAAUAUAAAUAGUCCGAACUACUAGGAACCGGAGAGGUCCACACAUCGCUUUGAAUCAACUGAAAGGAAAAAGAAGCUAUGGUGGUGGAGCUAUUAAACGGAAGGCGGACAUGUUUGCCGACACGACAGGCAUGACAGGUGUGAUCCUCUAUCUUAUUACAACUGAAAUUGAAACUCCUAAGAAUAUGACGAAGUGUGACGGGGUUGGGAUGACCAAAACGAGCGUGCCAGAGAUCGACGCUAGUAGAGAGAGCAACCGGUGCGGCGGUGGAGGUGGACGGCGGAUGCACCGGAUAGAGCUCGUCGGGGCUGUCACAUCGGUGAAGUAUCAUCCUGGUUCGAGCGUCCUUGACACAAAAACCAAGCUCGUCAAAUUCAACAGCAACAGGAUUUUCACGAGUUAAACAACGAACAGAAACAAGAUUCUUAAUAAUAUGAGGUGACACAAGUAUGUUAGACAAAGUUAAAGGCAUGGAAUUAGAAGGAAAAGAAGUGUGCCCGACAUGUGUGAUAGGAAGUGUGGAACCGUCGCUGACAAUGAUGCGGCGGUCGGUGGUGACGGGAGUGAAGGAGGCAAGAUUACCAGGAUGAGCAAACAUGUGAGCCGUAGCCCCGGUGUCCAUGUACCAAUCACCGCCUCCAGUGUAUGUGUUCGGCGUGGGCGCGGUGUGCAGCGCGGCGAGGAGCGCCGGAUCCCAAGGCGCCGGCGACAAGGCCGGCGAGGGCGGCGGUGGAGCCACAGGGAGGCCGUAGCCGCCGCUCAGCUGCGGCGGUGGGUAUCCUCCAUAGGGUUGCGGAGCCGCGUAGUACGCCUGGUGCGCUGGCGGGCGCGGCACGGGGAGGGUCGGUGCAGGAGCCCGUGGAACCGGCAUGGUGUAGCCAUGAACAACACCGGCUUGGAGGAGCGGCGGAUGAAGCCCGUGGAACCUCACGCUCAUCCCCAACACCGUCGAUGGUGGACCAGUCAUGGAACUCGGGGACGAGGCUGGAGUCGACGGUGCCGUUCACGUGGUCGACGAGGUGAUACUCCCGGAACACGAGGGAGAAAUACGCCUUUCACGUGUAGUAGGAGGAGUCCGUCUGCGAGAGACGAACCGGUACCCGCUCGAAGAUGUUGAGGUUGCGGAUGUCGUUGACGUCGGGAGGGUUGGCAUCGGCGAACGGGUUGGAGUUGGUGGACGCGGAGGAGGUGACGGACGACAUGGCGAGGGUGGGACGGCGCGGACGGCUCGGGUUAGGGUUUUAGGGACGGAUGGCAGCGGGCGGCGCGGGUGUAGCGGCGGCAGUAGGCGGCUCGGGUGGAUCGGGUGUGGGCAGGUGACGACAGCAGUUGGGGUGGGCGGCUCGGGAUGAGCGGGGAGAAGGGAGCAGCGGCAGCCGAAGGGUCGGGCGGCGGCGGCGACAACGGGAUCGGGCGGCGGCGCGGGUAGGGAGGGAAGGCGCGGCGGCAGGGAGAGAUGGCGGCAGCCGGCGCGGGUAGGCGAGCGAGCGGCGGCGGCGGCGGCGGCGGCGGAAGACUAGGGUUAGAACCCGAAAACUAAUACCAUGUAUGAUGUGGGAAUUGCAUGAUGUAUUGAUCAUGUGCAAAGGCAUGUAUAUAUGAUGUAUAAGAGAUGGGUCACGACCUCAACUAUACAAGAAACUAGAAGGUGGGCCCAAUACACAAAUAUGCACAACACACAUACUCAACACUUUUGAUUAGGCGUGUUCUUGUUUCGUCAGACAGUUUAACAAUGAUCAGGGACAUAGAUGAAAACACAGUGAGAAACAUGCAAUCGUUAUCCGCGAGUUGAAUUCUAGGAGAAAAGAUUUUGAAGCCUGCCAAUUUUUUUAUGAGUCUAGGAGAAGAAACUCGGAAGCUGGUAGUCUAGCUAAAUUUUCUUUAUCUCUGAAUUUGGUAGGCAUGUACGGCUAGCCACAUAUCUCUUCCUUUCAACCUCGUAGAAAGGGAAAGAGAUAAAAGACGAGGGCAAGCAGAGGGCAGGGGGGCGACUAGAGAGAACAUUUCCUCUUUGACCUCUACAGCUCAGCAUCUGAUAUUCCUACGUACCUCCCUUCCUUCCUCGAAUAUGAAUUCCUGUAUGUGUGUGAAUAACAUUGUUGCAACUUGCAUAAAAGAAAAGCGUCCGUGCGGGAGUUGGCCGUUGCUGGACUGCUGUUUUCUGUACCGCGGCGCGGGUGCAAUAACUACUCCCUGGCUUGGCUUUGACGAUACGGUGCUCGGUUCAGUUGGGAAAAGUAGUACAGUAUAUGCUCACCCUCCGUCCAGCAAAAAAGUGUGAUUAUACUCAACAAAAAGGAGAAUUGUUGGUCGCAAGCAAACUACACCGAGCUCCCAGCAGCUGGUCAAAGCCUCUGACAGAAGUGGGACGCAAAGCUGGCCAUUGCCAAGCAAAGCCAUACAGAGAAAGAUCAAACAACAAAGUUUGCUCAGGCAGAAGCAGCGCCCAGCGAGUAACGGACCCGAGUUGAAACAGCGAUGAAGUUGUAGAAUCCAAUAAUAAAUCCAUCAAAUCAGACUACACACAUAAUAGAGUAGAUACACCCAUAGACAGGCCAUCGGCCCAACAUUUGUCCAACAAAACCACCACCUAAUAAUGCUACUAGACAAGGGUAUGCAUGGAGAAUAGAUCUGAAGACA
This 35817-nucleotide long non-coding RNA is filed under the name Triticum aestivum (bread wheat). RNAcentral describes it as "long non-coding RNA (TAES_LNC018850)". The record is from RNAcentral. Lineage: Eukaryota; Viridiplantae; Streptophyta; Magnoliopsida; Poales; Poaceae.